AAGUGAAUUCUAAUAAAAAAUUAUAACUUUCAGUCGUAGAGUUUUGAAGUUUAUAUGCAAGUUUCGAAACUAAGAACAUACCUAGGGGCAGAACCAUGUUCAGCUUGAAGUUGUGCUAAACGAGCUUGUCUUAUAGCUUGCAAUUCUUCAUCCAUUAUGAAUAAGCCUAAUUAUUAAGCAAGAACUGAUGCACAAAUGUUUUUUAAUUGAGACUUGUGUAAUGCUCAAAUUUGUGGUGUUGCAAAGGAUUAACGAUAGAUUUGCGGUACUGCUAUGGAAUAAUAGCAAUUAACAAGCGCUAGCAUAAUCAAUUGUGUCGAGAGGACCAUAUUGGUGAGUAAUACUUUUUUUAACUUUCUUUUUCUAGUAGACAUGUACUUAUUACCCUUAUCUUGACAAAGCAGUCUGCUAUCACGAAGAAACCUGGUCAAAAUCCAGUGUGUGACAGCAACACCUAUUCAUAUAGCAUAAGCGAUUAUUAGACGAUUACUUCCAAAUCAUAGUCAACCCCAAA
Schizosaccharomyces pombe (fission yeast) is the source of this 514-nucleotide non-coding RNA. NCBI's taxonomy places the organism in Eukaryota, Fungi, Ascomycota, Schizosaccharomycetes, Schizosaccharomycetales, Schizosaccharomycetaceae. The record is from the annotation of a GenBank genome assembly.